UACGUAGGGCGCAAGCGUUAUCCGGAAUUAUUGGGCGUAAAGAGCUCGUAGGCGGUUUGUCGCGUCUGCUGUGAAAACUGGAGGCUCAACCUCCAGCCUGCAGUGGGUACGGGCAGACUAGAGUGCGGUAGGGGAGAUUGGAAUUCCUGGUGUAGCGGUGGAAUGCGCAGAUAUCAGGAGGAACACCGAUGGCGAAGGCAGAUCGCUGGGCCGUAACUGACGCUGAGGAGCGAAAGCGUGGGGAGCGAACAGG
RNAcentral lists this ribosomal RNA (253 nucleotides) under uncultured bacterium. RNAcentral's name for it is "partial 16S ribosomal RNA". It matches the Rfam family "Bacterial small subunit ribosomal RNA", at positions 524 to 776 of the family's 1533-position model. The record is from RNAcentral.